AGCGAACGCUGGCGGCAGGCUUAACACAUGCAAGUCGAACGGGCGUAGCAAUACGUCAGUGGCAGACGGGUGAGUAACGCGUGGGAACGUACCUUUUGGUUCGGAACAACCCAGGGAAACUUGGGCUAAUACCGGAUAAGCCCUUACGGGGAAAGAUUUAUCGCCGAAAGAUCGGCCCGCGUCUGAUUAGCUAGUUGGUGUGGUAACGGCGCACCAAGGCGACGAUCAGUAGCUGGUCUGAGAGGAUGAUCAGCCACAUUGGGACUGAGACACGGCCCAAACUCCUACGGGAGGCAGCAGUGGGGAAUAUUGGACAAUGGGCGCAAGCCUGAUCCAGCCAUGCCGCGUGAGUGAUGAAGGCCCUAGGGUUGUAAAGCUCUUUUACCCGGGAAGAUAAUGACUGUACCGGGAGAAUAAGCCCCGGCUAACUUCGUGCCAGCAGCCGCGGUAAU
Molecule: ribosomal RNA, 452 nt
Filed under: uncultured bacterium
Lineage: Bacteria
Description: bacterial SSU rRNA
Rfam family: Bacterial small subunit ribosomal RNA
Source: RNAcentral